GGGGAAUAUUGGGCAAUGGGCGCAAGCCUGACCCAGCAACGCCGCGUGAAGGAAGAAGGCUUUCGGGUUGUAAACUUCUUUUAAGAGGGACGAAAGAAAUGACGGUACCUCUUGAAUAAGCCACGGCUAACUACGUGCCAGCAGCCGCGGUAAUACGUAGGUGGCAAGCGUUAUCCGGAUUUACUGGGCGUAAAGGGCACGCAGGCGGUUUUUUAAGUCAGAUGUGAAAGGUACCGGCUCAACCGGUAACAUGCAUUUGAAACUGAAAGACUUGAGUAUUGGAGAGGCAAGUGGAAUUCCUAGUGUAGCGGUGAAAUGCGUAGAUAUUAGGAGGAACACCGGUGGCGAAGGCGGCUUGCUGGACAAAUACUGACGCUGAGGUGCGAAAGCGUGGGGAGCAAACA
RNAcentral lists this ribosomal RNA (404 nucleotides) under uncultured Eubacteriales bacterium. RNAcentral describes it as "bacterial SSU rRNA". It matches the Rfam family "Bacterial small subunit ribosomal RNA", at positions 356 to 774 of the family's 1533-position model. Lineage: Bacteria; Bacillati; Bacillota; Clostridia; Eubacteriales. The record is from RNAcentral.